This 29-nucleotide non-coding RNA is filed under the name Homo sapiens (human). The record is from RNAcentral. Lineage: Eukaryota; Metazoa; Chordata; Mammalia; Primates; Hominidae.
UCAAGACUAGGGUACAAGUCCUCAGGCUC